RNAcentral lists this unclassified non-coding RNA (369 nucleotides) under uncultured fungus. RNAcentral describes it as "partial contains small subunit ribosomal RNA, internal transcribed spacer 1, and 5.8S ribosomal RNA". The stretch from base 1 to 73 matches the Rfam family "Eukaryotic small subunit ribosomal RNA", at positions 1759 to 1831 of the family's 1831-position model. Lineage: Eukaryota; Fungi. The record is from RNAcentral.
CCAAACUUGGUCAUUUAGAGGAAGUAAAAGUCGUAACAAGGUUUCCGUAGGUGAACCUGCGGAAGGAUCAUUAUUGAAUAAAUCUGACACGAUUGUUGCUGGCUCUUAGGAGCAUGUGCACGUCUGUCAUUUUUACCUUUCCUCCUGUGCACUUAAUGUAGACCUGGAAUAAAUUGUCGUUGUUUGAAACGGAAGCAGAGACUGACAUGUCCUUAAUGGAUUUGUCUAUCUUUGAAUUAUCCAGGCCUAUGUCUUUAUACACUCCAAUUGAAUGAUUAGAAUGUUUAUAAAUGGCCUUGUAGCCUAUAAAACAUCAAUACAACUUUCAGCAACGGAUCUCUUGGCUCUCGCAUCGAUGAAGAACGCAGC